UGUUUUUUUCUAUCUAGCUUCUAACUUGUGAUACUUUUAUAUCUGAACUAGACUUUCCAGUUAUACACUAUUGUUCCCAGUGUUUCCUUUUUAAUUUUGCCAUCUUAAGUUAGCAUCAGGUUUAAUAAUCUUUGAACAAGGUACAAGGCUUACACAUGUGAGCCACCUUAUUCUCCUACAAAGUGUUUUUAUGACUAGAGCCAUUUUUCUUAUGUAACAUCUCUCUCUUGAGUUGUUUGUUUUUCAUGGUUGAUCACAUGGACACCGAAAUGUGCUAUUAUUAAUUUCUUUGGGAUUUGAAUUAAAUUGUAUUUCCUGGGAGUGUGGGCAAGUCUUAAUGAUUCCUGGACAUGAGCACCACCUCCCAUGCACUGGGAUCAUAAGCAUCACCCACUGUGCGUUUUAGAUGCUGAUGGUCAAACUCAAGCUUAAUGCUUUUACUAAAUCCAUUUUCCUAAUUAAACUGUUGUUUCAGUCUCAAAUACAUAGACCAGUUUCUUUAGAAACAUGGGAUGUUUGCUUUCUUAUUAGAGAAUUCUAAAAUGUAUAAUUGCUGGAACUAUGAGGAGGAUCAGAGGUGUGAUUCAUCCUUGCGAAGCAGGCAGUAAAACCAUCAGUUCCAUGCCAGUCUCAGAUCAAAAUGCAUGUGUUGGAUAACAUGAGAUUUAAGGGAUGAGUUUCAUUUUGUGUCACGAUUAGUCCCUUCUAACAUUGUCAUGUGUAUUUUAAUAUUAUGUUUGAAAAUGCAUCAACUUUUUUAUAUUCACAGAAAAAGAUCUACAAAGAUCAAAUGGAAUACAUGUUGCAAAAUCAUGUAUUUCCUCUCUUCAGCAGUGAGCUAGGUUACAUGAGAGCAAGGGUAAGUUAAAGUAUUGAAAUAUUUUUAUGUCUUGUAAGAAAUGACUGAAAGUUAAAACUUGGCUUAAACAUAUUAAGACUUUUUUCUGUAAGUCUUUGUCUGGCUGCUAUACUGAGUCCUGUGUGCAUAGUUUUCAUCUAUGUCUGGUAGCAGUAUCUGUCUGCGUUUUGCAUUCAGAUCUUGCUAUCCACACAAACGAAUGCAGCCAAAGAAUAAGUUGGGAUCAUAGUACUGGCCUAGUGUUGUGUUUUUUUAACACAUCUCCCACUGGCCAGCCUCCAAAUUCCCAGAC
This 1151-nucleotide long non-coding RNA is filed under the name Mus musculus (house mouse). RNAcentral describes it as "long non-coding RNA chr7:110045392-110046543". The stretch from base 972 to 1151 matches the Rfam family "Small nucleolar RNA SNORA23". The record is from RNAcentral. Lineage: Eukaryota; Metazoa; Chordata; Mammalia; Rodentia; Muridae.